RNAcentral lists this ribosomal RNA (404 nucleotides) under uncultured bacterium. Its description in RNAcentral is "bacterial SSU rRNA". It matches the Rfam family "Bacterial small subunit ribosomal RNA", at positions 355 to 776 of the family's 1533-position model. The record is from RNAcentral.
UGGGGAAUCUUAGACAAUGGGGGCAACCCUGAUCUAGCCAUGCCGCGUGAGUGAUGAAGGCCUUAGGGUCGUAAAGCUCUUUCGCUGGGGAUGAUAAUGACAGUACCUGGUAAAGAAGCCCCGGCUAACUUCGUGCCAGCAGCCGCGGUAAUACGAAGGGGGCUAGCGUUGUUCGGAAUUACUGGGCGUAAAGCGCACGUAGGCGGACUUUUAAGUCAGAUGUGAAAUCCCGAGGCUCAACCUCGGAACUGCAUUUGAAACUGGGAGUCUAGAGAUCAGGAGAGGUUAGCGGAAUACCGAGUGUAGAGGUGAAAUUCGUAGAUAUUCGGAGGAACACCAGUGGCGAAGGCGGCUCACUGGCUCGAUACUGACGCUGAGGUGCGAAAGUGUGGGGAGCAAACAGG